Molecule: ribosomal RNA, 412 nt
Filed under: uncultured bacterium
Lineage: Bacteria
Description: bacterial SSU rRNA
Rfam family: Bacterial small subunit ribosomal RNA
Source: RNAcentral
UGUCAGCCGCCGCGGUAAUACGUAGGAUGCAAGCGUUGUUCGGAAUUACUGGGCGUAAAGAGUACGUAGGCGGCAAUGUAAGUCUAAUAUUAAAGACUGGAGCUCAACUUCAGGAGUGUAUUGGAAACUACAUAGCUAGAGGAUAGUAGAGGAAGUCGGAAUUCCAAGUGUAGCGGUGAAAUGCGUAGAUAUUUGGAAGAACACCAGUUGCGAAAGCGGACUUCUGGGCUAUUACUGACGCUGAGGUACGAAAGCGUGGGGAGCAAACAGGAUUAGAUACCCUGGUAGUCCACGCGGUAAACGAUGGAUACUAGGUGUAACUGGCUUCGACCCCAGUUGUGCCGUAGCUAACGCAUUAAGUAUCCCGCCUGGGGAGUAUGGCCGCAAGGUUGAAACUCAAAGAAAUUGACGG